Molecule: long non-coding RNA, 696 nt
Organism: Suricata suricatta (meerkat)
Lineage: Eukaryota; Metazoa; Chordata; Mammalia; Carnivora; Herpestidae
Exons: 2
Source: RefSeq, a predicted model, not a curated record
CACGGGAUGAGGACCCCCCCCCUCCUCCCAGGCCGCAGACAGGGAAGGUGAAGCUCAGGGAAGGCAGCACUGUGUGCGCGACUCACUCGGUGUUCAUCUACCUUCUUCUGUGGGCCAGGCAAUGGCCCAAGCGCUGGGGACACAGGAGUUAACUGGUAUGCAAGAGCCAGUUUCUUAGGGAGCAAACAAUGUAUCAGAGAAGAAGCCAAGAGCACCUAAGUAACCCUAAAAUGGGAUGACAUGAGAGGGUCAUACUUGGAAGAAAAACCAGAUGGGGUGAUGAGACAGGAAGGAAGCAGGAGGCCCUGUUGGCCAAGGGGGCGGUGGAAGGCCUCUCCGCAUGAAUGACAGGUUUUGUUCUCAUGUGAAUUCUACUCUGUGGAGCUGUGAACCUGGGUCAAGACCAUGCCCCUGGAGAGUCUAUGCCAGGUCACCACGCCAGGCUCCCGCCUCACCCCAGACCCAGAGACAAAGCCAGCCGGGAGAGGUUCCACAGACACGCAGUGAAACAACUGCCUUCCCAAAGCUGCCGUGGCUAUUUCUUCCGGAGAGGCUUUGAGAAAGGAUGGCCUGCAUGUCACUGCCACUCACAAGGCCACGCUGAAGGUUCAUUCGGCACGGCUGGAGACCCCGCCUGCCCAAGACCCCCCACGCAUCUCUCUGGACACCUACGUCCGUCAAUAAAUCCUACUCUUU